UUAGGACCCUGGAUGAUUCCCAAAAGCAGC
Molecule: non-coding RNA, 30 nt
Filed under: Mus musculus (house mouse)
Lineage: Eukaryota; Metazoa; Chordata; Mammalia; Rodentia; Muridae
Source: RNAcentral